CUCAGGUUGAAGAGUCCAAAAUAGGACGAAAUGCGCAUCCUGGAU
RNAcentral lists this non-coding RNA (45 nucleotides) under Trichobilharzia regenti. The record is from RNAcentral. Lineage: Eukaryota; Metazoa; Platyhelminthes; Trematoda; Strigeidida; Schistosomatidae.